GUGGGGAAUCUUGCGCAAUGGGCGAAAGCCUGACGCAGCCAUGCCGCGUGAAUGAUGAAGGUCUUAGGAUUGUAAAAUUCUUUCACCGGGGACGAUAAUGACGGUACCCGGAGAAGAAGCCCCGGCUAACUUCGUGCCAGCAGCCGCGGUAAUACGAAGGGGGCUAGCGUUGCUCGGAAUUACUGGGCGUAAAGGGCGCGUAGGCGGACAGUUAAGUUGGGGGUGAAAGCCCGGGGCUCAACCUCGGAACUGCCUUCAAUACUGGCUGUCUUGAGUAUGAGAGAGGUGUGUGGAACUCCGAGUGUAGAGGUGAAAUUCGUAGAUAUUCGGAGGAACACCAGUGGCGAAGGCGGCUUACUGGUCCAUUACUGACGCUGAGGUGCGAAAGCGUGGGGAGCAAACAGGAUUAGAUACCCGUGUAGUCC
This 425-nucleotide ribosomal RNA is filed under the name uncultured bacterium. RNAcentral describes it as "partial 16S ribosomal RNA". It matches the Rfam family "Bacterial small subunit ribosomal RNA", at positions 354 to 796 of the family's 1533-position model. The record is from RNAcentral.